AUUGGAACCGGGGUGCGGUAUGCUUUACACAUGCAAGUCGAACGGUAACAGGUCUUCGGAUGCUGACGAGUGGCGAACGGGUGAGUAAUGUAUCGGAACGUGCCUAGUAAUGGGGGAUAACCACUCGAAAGAGUGACUAAUACCGCAUAAUAUCUCAGGAUGAAAGCGGGGGAUCGCAAGACCUCGCGUUAUUAGAGCGGCCGAUAUCAGAUUAGGUAGUUGGUGGGAUAAAAGCCUACCAAGCCAACGAUCUGUAGCUGGUCUGAGAGGACGACCAGCCACACUGGGACUGAGACACGGCCCAGACUCCUACGGGAGGCAGCAGUGGGGAAUUUUGGACAAUGGGCGAAAGCCUGAUCCAGCAAUACCGCGUGCAGGACGAAGGCCUUCGGGUUGUAAACUGCUUUUGUACGGAACGAAACGGUUCAGAUUAAUACUCUGAACUAAUGACGGUACCGUAAGAAUAAGCACCGGCUAACUACGUG
This 485-nucleotide ribosomal RNA is filed under the name uncultured bacterium. RNAcentral's name for it is "bacterial SSU rRNA". It matches the Rfam family "Bacterial small subunit ribosomal RNA", at positions 39 to 507 of the family's 1533-position model. The record is from RNAcentral.